Uranotaenia lowii is the source of this 2543-nucleotide long non-coding RNA. RefSeq lists it as uncharacterized. NCBI's taxonomy places the organism in Eukaryota, Metazoa, Arthropoda, Insecta, Diptera, Culicidae. The record is from RefSeq and is a predicted model, not a curated record. The transcript is spliced from 4 exons.
GGUGGGGGAGGAGGAGUAGGAGGUGGUGGCAGUUCGCCACAGCAGUUUUCGACUUUUGCCACCGGUUGGCUCUUUUGUGUAGUAACAAAAAGAUGCGUGGCCACCACAAUUUAGGUACAAUGGGCAACAUAAUGUACAGGAAAAGCGUCACCACGGCAACAACGAUGCUGCUGCAGCAACAAAGUACAAACACCGAACCGAUUGUGUUUAGUCAGACAGGCAACCAGUUGAUGACACGACAAGCGGUGCCCUCCAGGCCCAGAAUGUACGGCGAAGUUCCAGGCCUGCUGGUUACUGUCGAAUAAGAGCGUUUGCUCGACGCAAUGUCAAUUUUUCCUCUCCAAGUGUGCCUUCGAUCUGAAACAAUAUUCAGAAGCUGAGCACACUCCCAUCAACGAUGACCACUAGCGGGUACGGCAUCUGGACGAAGUGACCAAAGAGUUCGGCGAUAUAGGAUACUUUGCGCUGGAGUUGCUGUCAAGAAUCUGCCACAAAAGACUGAAUGCGGCACUGGCCAACGAUGCCAGCCGGAGGACGGUGAAGUUAGUGUGAAGUGUUUCAGCUUUCGAGCACCCCUUUCCGGAAGCAACAGUUUAAGUAUCUAGCCGCCAUGAGUCCUACCACUCCUAGUUUCGGUGUUUUACCUAUAAUGCAUAGCCCAGUUUAAAGCAGUGACCAAUCGAAUUUGAUAAUUACACCUUCGCCACAGCGGUUUUCGACUUUGGCCACCGGUUGUCAUCAGCCGCAACAAUCUCCCGGUGUGCAAAUCCAACAACAGCUGAAUACGAUACAGCAACAAUGACUCUCCUGUGCAGUAACAAAAAGAUGCGUGGCUACGACAAUUCAGGUACAAUGGGCAACAUAAUUAACAGGAAAAGCGACACCACGGAAACAACGAUGCUGCUGCAGCAACUAAGUACAAACACCAAACCGAUUGUGACCGGCGGUGCCCUGCAGGCCCAGAAUGUACGGCGAAGUUCCAGGCUUUUUAGCAACAACAGGCGAACACCAAGAGUCCUCAACUGAAUAAUAAAUUCGUGGCACCUCCGCCGCGUAAAUCGAAACAAAGAAUUUCAAAGAAUCUAGACAGUAUUACGGCCAGCUUGCUGUAAAAUGUCCACGAACGAAAGUCCAAUAAUGGUCAAGCAUGACUGAAACCUAGAACCGACAUUUUUAUUUAGAAAAAUAUCUUUAUUCAAACUUUUUGUUUUAAAAUUUCAUAAAAAAACUAAUAUAAAUAAUUUCAAUAUAGACAAUUUUUUUAAAACGAUACUAUUCAGCGUAGGUUGCAUGUUUUAGACCAAAAAGAUCUGGUAUCAGCUUUUCUAUUUCCUUCGCCAUUCGAUUUGAAUCGUAAUCUUAACCGGACAAAUCAAAACCCUUUCAACAAUGCGGAGCUUGUUCCCGCCAUUCCCUGAGACUAUUGCUCUAACUGAUCAACAGAUUACUGUGUACAGCUUGCGUUCCUAGUUUUUCCUUACUAAUUUGAUACAGAUCGCUUUACGCUCCCCCCUAACAGUGAAAAACGCAGCCAUGGCUGUGCGUACUUGAUUUGCUUGCUUAUCACCUGUCGAGGAGGUUUGACCAUCGAUGCGUCAACGUAGGCUAGCUGGGAUCUCCUGACCGCUGCUGUCUGCUCUACUUGGGCCAUCUGAUGUUGGCCGUCAGACGGUUCAGUUUUACCUCUGAAGAAGAAAAAAGUUUUUAUGAGUUCAUACCGGAAAUUAUAUGAAUGGAACUUACAGCGUAUAUCUCCCGCCAUGAUUCGCACACUUUUUCCUUUCGUUUUUGGCUUCGGAAGUCGUUUGCAGUGCUGCUCCCAAAGGAUGUCAGUGUCCUCCAACAGGUACGGGCUCACUUCUGAUAUUCCAAUCCGAUUCCAAUAUUGCAAUCCAGCAGCUCGUUGUUUUCCUGCAACAGUCGAAUGCACAGGGCACAAGCUGGGCACGAUUGCAGUAAAGGUUUUGAUGCCGGAGAAAACUUUGGUGCGAAGAUUUUUGGACUGCAUGCUGUGGCCGGGGGUCUCUUCUUCGGUCAGAAUCGACCGCUGAGUCUUACCGUUGUUGAAAAAUACACAAUACAUCACGACCUGGUUCAGCGGCAUCGGGCGAUAAUUCGGACAAACGGUUGGAUACUACCAACUCCGAAGCGUCCGGCAAUGGUUUCAGGUGGUUUCAGUUUAACUUUCUGCUUCAGUAGGGAGGGCGUUGAACAGGAGGAACUGCUGCUGCUGGAGACAGUGCUCGGAGAUCGGGCUUCACGGCUUUUGCCCGAGGAGCUAGGAGAUUAUUUUUCCGAUAUGGCAUUACGGGGUAGAAAAAGAGCCACUGUUGUUUGUUGUAAAACAAAAACAAAAAAGAUUUUAAUCAAGUUGAUGAUGACGUCAUAUAAAACACCACUACCAAUGCACGAUUGUUUCGUUAUACUUUUCAUUGAUUUUCUUUGACACCAAACGUAAACAAUGUAAUAGGCUGUCAAAAUUUUGGCUUCCGUGCCCACUUCUUCACCGCGCCUACUUUUUGUCAAAGUUGUUCCACCCUAGA